UUCUCUGUAGCUCAGUUGGUUAGAGCAUAGUGCUGACAAUGUCAAGGUUGCAAGUUUGAUCCCCAUAUGGGAAA
Podarcis lilfordi (Lilford's wall lizard) is the source of this 74-nucleotide non-coding RNA. NCBI's taxonomy places the organism in Eukaryota, Metazoa, Chordata, Lepidosauria, Squamata, Lacertidae. The record is from the annotation of a GenBank genome assembly.